AACGCUAGCUACAGGCUUAACACAUGCAAGUCGAGGGGCAGCAUGGUCUUAGCUUGCUAAGGCCGAUGGCGACCGGCGCACGGGUGAGUAACACGUAUCCAACCUGCCGUCUACUCUUGGACAGCCUUCUGAAAGGAAGAUUAAUACAAGAUGGCAUCAUGAGUCCGCAUGUUCACAUGAUUAAAGGUAUUCCGGUAGACGAUGGGGAUGCGUUCCAUUAGAUAGUAGGCGGGGUAACGGCCCACCUAGUCUUCGAUGGAUAGGGGUUCUGAGAGGAAGGUCCCCCCCAUUGGAACUGAGACACGGUCCAAACUCCUACGGGAGGCAGCAGUGAGGAAUAUUGGUCAAUGGGCGAGAGCCUGAACCAGCCAAGUAGCGUGAAGGAUGACUGCCCUAUGGGUUGUAAACUUCUUUUAUAAAGGAAUAAAGUCGGGUAUGGAUACCCGUUUGCAUGUACUUUAUGAAUAAGGAUCGGCUAACUCCGUGCCAGCAGCCGCGGUAAUACGGAGGAUCCGAGCGUUAUCCGGAUUUAUUGGGUUUAAAGGGAGCGUAGAUGGAUGUUUAAGUCAGUUGUGAAAGUUUGCGGCUCAACCGUAAAAUUGCAGUUGAUACUGGAUAUCUUGAGUGCAGUUGAGGCAGGCGGAAUUCGUGGUGUAGCGGUGAAAUGCUUAGAUAUCACGAAGAACUCCGAUUGCGAAGGCAGCCUGCUAAGCUGCAACUGACAUUGAGGCUCGAAAGUGUGGGUAUCAAACAGGAUUAGAUACCCUGGUAGUCCACACGGUAAACGAUGAAUACUCGCUGUUUGCGAUAUACGGCAAGCGGCCAAGCGAAAGCGUUAAGUAUUCCACCUGGGGAGUACGCCGGCAACGGUGAAACUCAAAGGAAUUGACGGGGGCCCGCACAAGCGGAGGAACAUGUGGUUUAAUUCGAUGAUACGCGAGGAACCUUACCCGGGCUUAAAUUGCAGAUGAAUUACGGUGAAAGCCGUAAGCCGCAAGGCAUCUGUGAAGGUGCUGCAUGGUUGUCGUCAGCUCGUGCCGUGAGGUGUCGGCUUAAGUGCCAUAACGAGCGCAACCCUUGUUGUCAGUUACUAACAGGUUCUGCUGAGGACUCUGACAAGACUGCCAUCGUAAGAUGUGAGGAAGGUGGGGAUGACGUCAAAUCAGCACGGCCCUUACGUCCGGGGCUACACACGUGUUACAAUGGGGGGUACAGAGGGCCGCUACCACGCGAGUGGAUGCCAAUCCCAAAAACCUCUCUCAGUUCGGACUGGAGUCUGCAACCCGACUCCACGAAGCUGGAUUCGCUAGUAAUCGCGCAUCAGCCACGGCGCGGUGAAUACGUUCCCGGGCCUUGUACACACCGCCCGUCAAGCCAUGGGAGCCGGGGGUACCUGAAGUGCGUAACCGCGAGGAGCGCCCUAGGGUAAAACUGGUGACUGGGGC
RNAcentral lists this ribosomal RNA (1445 nucleotides) under uncultured organism. RNAcentral's name for it is "SSU rRNA". It matches the Rfam family "Bacterial small subunit ribosomal RNA". The record is from RNAcentral.